This 499-nucleotide ribosomal RNA is filed under the name uncultured bacterium. RNAcentral describes it as "bacterial SSU rRNA". It matches the Rfam family "Bacterial small subunit ribosomal RNA", at positions 21 to 518 of the family's 1533-position model. The record is from RNAcentral.
GGCUCAGGAUGAACGCAGCGACAGGCCUAACACAUGCAAGUCAGGGGCAGCACAAGGAGCAAUCUGAGGUGGCGACCGGCGCACGGGUGAGUAACACGUAUGCAACCUGCCUGUAAGCGGGGAAUAACCCGUUGAAAGACGGACUAAUACCGCAUAAUACUAAAUUACUGCAUGGUAAUUUAUUUAAACAUUUACGGCUUACAGAUGGGCGUGCGCAUGAUUAGCUAGUUGGAGAGGUAACGGCUCCCCAAGGCAACGAUCAUUAGGGGUUCUGAGAGGAAGGUCCCCACACUGGUACUGAGACACGGACCAGACUCCUACGGGAGGCAGCAGUGAGGAAUAUUGGUCAAUGGACGAGAGUCUGAACCAGCCAAGUCGCGUGCGGGAAGAAUGUCCUAUGGACUGUAAACUGCUUUUGCAGGGGAAUAAAGUGCAUCACGUGUGAUGUUUUGUAUGUACUCUGCGAAUAAGGAUCGGCUAACUCCGUGCCAGCAGCUGC